AGCCAGAGAGCAGUGAUUGGUCAGACUGACUGCGAGUCAGAGAGCAGCGAUUGGUCAGACCAUAGAUAAUAUAGGAGACAGCACGCUAGCGUAUCUAGUCUAUGUAUAUCUGUGGUCGGCACGUCUGGUAGCAUCUCUGGCUGCUGUUGACCUUGUUUUUGGAGUAAAACACGGUGGAAGCUGAAUUAGUGAGGAUGACUCCUGCUCCUGUCAUCUCUAAGCUCCUCACACAUCUUUACCUGCACAUGAGGAAAAUCACUCCUGUAGAAUGCAGAUGUUCAGAGGGAGAUGAUGCCACAUCUGGUCCAGCUGAUGGAAGGUCUUGAAGUUCUCUGACUGGCCUCGACUGAAGAUGGUCGUCUCACUGGAUUUAAGGUUCAGAUGCUCAGUAACAAACUCCACCAAUGUGCCAACAAGGAAGCUUUAGGUUUAUUAAAUGUUGCUAUGAAGGUUUCGCUGUUUUUCUUUGUGAAUGCAAUGUGCUCCAACUGAAACUUGAAUUAGAACUUAGAAAUAAAUCCUUCCAUCUGAAAGGAUUUAGUUGCAUUAAUAACCUCAUAACAUUCUAAUUUUUAUUCCAGUCUUGGUUGAAAAUAGAAUCUCUGUAUUGAUUCAGGUAAAAACUGAACUUCACAGUAUGUUGGAGCAAAACAACCAGAUGAAAACUGUGAUGGUGUUGGAUUGUCAGACCGUAAUGUUGCAGCUCAAAGCAGCUUUUCUAGCUCAGUUCAUUCUGACAUUCAGCUAUGAAUCAACACAGCAGAUGGUGAUCCAUGCUGUGGAAGUCUCACAUCUCCUGAUUUAAUGGAGCUGCUUUGCACUUUUUACACUGUUUAUUCACCAACACUUUAUUUAAUAAAAGUCCCAUCUAGUUUUUAUGAGGAAUGUGAUGUUUUAAUUUCUCUGUGAAUAACUGCAGUCUAAUGCAACAGCUGGAGUUGUAACAUCUGUCCUGAUAUUGAUCAUGAAGUAUUGAUCAGAAUACUUAUGGUUAGCAGUCAUUUUACAUUAAAAUCUUUACUUGUGUUGUGAACUUUGGUAAGAAGCAGAAACGUUAGCGUUGCCAUGGAUAUAAGAGUGUUAAAUUCUGUCCAUGUUUCCAUUUUGGGAAAUGCAGUCCAGUUCCAGAAUGUGGAGGAAUUUAGUCUCACAAUCACAGACAACAAAUAUUAUCUGAAAGUCGGGUUAUUGUUGUUUAUCAGCACAAUACAAAAAGGUUAAUGUUAGAAAUAUUCCAGUUAAGACUCUAGAAUAUCAUGAUUUAUGUAAAUUUACCUCAAUAAUAUGAAUGUUCAGGUUAAGAUUGUACAGUGAUAUUAUGUAAGUUUAGCUAAUUAAUGUUUAUAACUCUGCACUGAAAUAUUAUUUAAAUUGACAUCAUUAUUAUAAUAUUUAGGGUCAGACCCUACAGUAUUGAGAUUAAGAAAUCAAAUAUUCUAUAAAAUGUAAAUACACUGAACUCAUUUGGAUAUAUUUAAGUGAGACUACAAUAUUAUUUGACACAAAUCUAUCUAAAUCAAAAUUCUAAUAAUUUUCACGCCAAACAUUUACUGGACUGAUUUAAACAUUAAAAUCACUCCUUUCUAAUCCUCUGCUGUACGUUCAAACCUGAGGCCUUAAAUAGAAACACACAAGUAUCUGAUUGAAGGAACUUCUGCAGAGUCCUGGUUCCAGAACAUGAUGAUAGAAUUAUAGACAAACUUUAACAAAAGCUGCCUGAGAGUUUACAGGUUUUUAUGUUGGAUUUCUUCAGUAAUUUAAUGAGCGUUAUCAGCAAUAAUCAAGUGUUCAUUUGAUGAACUUCAUUCCCUAAAACAUACAGAAUUGGAGCUCAUAUCUUUGACAGCUGUAAAGUUUCUGCUCCUUCAAAGUUCACAACACAAUGAAUGAAUUCCUAAAACACUCUCAAUGCUGAAGCAGUGAUCAGUUUUUCUGUUUCUUCUCUGGAGAUGCACAAUGAGGGACGUCUGCAGAGACUGAGAAAGAGUCUCACCACAUCCUGACAUGAGAAAAAGACUUUAUUGAAGACUACAAUGAGAAAAACUGUCAGACAGCAGACGGCUGCAUUCAAGUCUGUAGCUGCUGAAUUCAUGGAUGAAUCAUCUGGCACUAGAGAAGAAGACCAUCAAACAUCCACGUCAGCUGAUGGAGGUCCAAGAGUCUCACCGAACAACCAACCUACAGAGUGAAGACCUCGAAUCUGAUUGGACGGCCUCCUAUUCAGCCACAUUUUAGGCUGUUAGAUUGUUCCAGAUAAGACAAGUACAAGAUUCUUCAGAGCCGUUCUACCACGAGCCUGACAGGA
This is a long non-coding RNA of Amphiprion ocellaris (clown anemonefish), 2305 nucleotides long. NCBI's taxonomy places the organism in Eukaryota, Metazoa, Chordata, Actinopteri, Pomacentridae. The record is from Ensembl.